RNAcentral lists this ribosomal RNA (461 nucleotides) under uncultured bacterium. RNAcentral describes it as "bacterial SSU rRNA". It matches the Rfam family "Bacterial small subunit ribosomal RNA", at positions 342 to 794 of the family's 1533-position model. The record is from RNAcentral.
GUGGAGGCAGCAGUGAGGAAUCUUCCGCAAUGGACGAAAGUCUGACGGAGCAACGCCGCGUGAGUGAUGAAGGCUUUCGGGUCGUAAAACUCUGUUGUUAGGGAAGAACAAGUGCUAGUUGAAUAAGCUGGCACCUUGACGGUACCUAACCAGAAAGCCACGGCUAACUACGUGCCAGCAGCCGCGGUAAUACGUAGGUGGCAAGCGUUAUCCGGAAUUAUUGGGCGUAAAGCGCGCGCAGGUGGUUUCUUAAGUCUGAUGUGAAAGCCCACGGCUCAACCGUGGAGGGUCAUUGGAAACUGGGAGACUUGAGUGCAGAAGAGGAAAGUGGAAUUCCAUGUGUAGCGGUGAAAUGCGUAGAGAUAUGGAGGAACACCAGUGGCGAAGGCGACUUUCUGGUCUGUAACUGACACUGAGGCGCGAAAGCGUGGGGAGCAAACAGGAUUAGAUACCCCGGUAGC